Molecule: ribosomal RNA, 228 nt
Filed under: uncultured bacterium
Lineage: Bacteria
Description: partial 16S ribosomal RNA
Rfam family: Bacterial small subunit ribosomal RNA
Source: RNAcentral
UGAGCAAUCUGCCCUUCUCUUCGGAAUAAGCGUUGGAAACGACGUCUAAUGCCGAAUACGACCUCCUUUCGCAUGAUCGGAGGUGGAAAGCUCCGGCGGAGAAGGAUGAGCUCGCGGCCUAUCAGCUAGUUGGUGUGGGUAAUGGCUCACCAAGGCAACGACGGGUAGCUGGUCUGAGAGGAUGGCCAGCCACAUUGGGACUGAGACACGGCCCAGAUCCGUAACGGG